RNAcentral lists this non-coding RNA (24 nucleotides) under Arabidopsis thaliana (thale cress). The record is from RNAcentral. Lineage: Eukaryota; Viridiplantae; Streptophyta; Magnoliopsida; Brassicales; Brassicaceae.
ACGAGAUAUUCAGCUGAUGCUACC